This 467-nucleotide ribosomal RNA is filed under the name uncultured bacterium. RNAcentral's name for it is "bacterial SSU rRNA". It matches the Rfam family "Bacterial small subunit ribosomal RNA", at positions 32 to 507 of the family's 1533-position model. The record is from RNAcentral.
AAUCAACGCUGGCGGCGUGCCUCAGACAUGCAAGUCGAACGAUUAAGACUUCCUUCGGGAAGUGCAUAAAGUGGCGCACGGGUGAGUAACACGUAAGUAAUCUACCCUCGAGUGGGGAAUAACGUUCGGAAACGGACGCUAAUACCGCAUAACGCAGCGGCACCGCAAGGUGACAGUUGUUAAAGGAGCAAUCCGCUUGAGGAGGAGCUUGCGGCAGAUUAGCUAGUUGGUAAGGUAAUGGCUUACCAAGGCUACGAUCUGUAUCCGGUCUAAGAGGACGGUCGGACACACUGACACUGAAUAACGGGUCAGACUCCUACGGGAGGCAGCAGUCGGGAAUUUUGGGCAAUGGGCGAAAGCCUGACCCAGCAACGCCGCGUGAAGGAUGAAGUAUUUCGGUAUGUAAACUUCGAAAGAAUAGGAAGAAUAAAUGGCGGUACUAUUUAUAAGCUCCGGCUAACUACGUG